This is a long non-coding RNA of Camellia sinensis, 1018 nucleotides long. RefSeq lists it as uncharacterized. NCBI's taxonomy places the organism in Eukaryota, Viridiplantae, Streptophyta, Magnoliopsida, Ericales, Theaceae. The record is from RefSeq and is a predicted model, not a curated record.
ACAUGGGUCUUCUUUUCUAAAGAAGUUUUGUCUGGUACCAGUGCUACUGUCCAUGAAUCAUAUAGCUUGGAAAAUGAAAUGGAAAAAGGUUCUAUUUUUCAUUGAGUCAAUCUACAUAUUGAAAUUCUUUCUCACGAAAUAAUAGAAAUGUAUGGAUGGGUUUUAUUUUCAUAAUUAUUUUUCUUGGGAUGAGAAAAGAUGCUAUAGCCUACAUUUAUAACAGAAAAUAUGUUCCGAGCAAAAACUGUUUUAGUAAUUCCAAGUAUAAUUGUCUAAUUUUUAGUUAUCAAUCUGGCUUGAGUUUACUUCCUGCAGCAGCUUGCAUUCUGAUUUAGGCAAUAUCAAUAUGGAGGUCAAGUUUAGAGCCAUGGUAGUUUAUCUGACUAUGGAAGAUCAUCUUCACUUAAAAAAACCAAAGUAGUGGGCAUGAUUUUUGAAUAAAAAUACAAAUGCAAAGAUGAUAUUUUGUUUCUUUAUUGAAUGGUUUGUUUGCUGCUUGUAAGUCGUUUUGUUGAAUUUUUCAAUCUCCUGAAAGGGAAUUGUGGACCACUUUAAUGAGAAUGAGAUUAUGAUUUGUUGGUGUUCAAUCAAUGUUUCAGAAUUUGUGGUUGUGGGGAUUGGGUGGAACAGACUAUUAGGCCUAGUUUCUUUCAAAACAAAAGCAUCUUUUGAGGUCGUAAAUUGGACAAAUUCUCCAAUCUAUGCUGACUCUUUUAAAUACUUGAAAUAUUUAUCCAAUUGCAUUUUCUGCUUUUGGUUUCUGAAUGGUAUGUAUCUUUGUCAUUAGGUCAAUCUGAUGGAAUUCAGAACAUAUAUCAGCAUCACCCAUGUGAAGGGAGAGGGACUAUACUGCUGACAAAACUAGGGUUAGAAAAGCCGAGAAAAAAGAGAAGCAAGGAACACACCACGGGGUGGCACGGCUGUGACUGCAUUGCAGACAGCACAACAUACAGAGGUUGCUCCAACUGGAUAGAGUAAAAGGUUUCGGCAUCCGGAACACACUAGCUGGCUUUGUGCA